This 501-nucleotide ribosomal RNA is filed under the name uncultured bacterium. Its description in RNAcentral is "bacterial SSU rRNA". It matches the Rfam family "Bacterial small subunit ribosomal RNA", at positions 32 to 510 of the family's 1533-position model. The record is from RNAcentral.
AAUCAACGCUGGCGGCGUGCCUAACACAUGCAAGUCGAACGCGAAAGCCCCUUCGGGGGCAAGUAGAGUGGCGUCCGGGUGAGUAACACGUGGGUAAUCUACCUCCGGGUGGGGAAUAACUCGCCGAAAGGUGGGCUAAUACCGCAUAAUGCAGCGGCACCGAAUGGUGAUUAGUUGUUAAAGCGGGGGACCUUAGGGCCUCGCGUCUGGAGAGGAGCCUGCGGCAGAUUAGCUUGUUGAGGGUAAUGGCCUACCAAGGCUGCGAUCUGUAGCUGGUCUGAGAGGACGGCCAGCCACACUGGCACUGACACACGGGCCAGACUCCUACGGGAGGCAGCAGUGGGGAAUUUUGGGCAAUGGGCGAAAGCCUGACCCAGCAACGCCGCGUGAAGGAGGAAAUCCUUCGGGAUGUAAACUUCACAAGCAAGGGAAGAGCGCGCAGGGUCGAAUAAACUCUGCGUCCGACGGUACCUUGCGUAAGCCACGGCUAACUACGUGCCA